UACGGGGGGGGCAAGCGUUGUUCGGAAUUACUGGGCGUAAAGGGCUCGUAGGUGGCCAACUAAGUCAGACGUGAAAUCCCUCGGCUUAACCGGGGAACUGCGUCUGAUACUGGAUGGCUUGAAUCCGGGAGAGGGAUGCGGAAUUCCAGGUGUAGCGGUGAAAUGCGUAGAUAUCUGGAGGAACACCGGUGGCGAAGGCGGCAUCCUGGACCGGCAUUGACGCUGAGGAGCGAAAGCCAGGGGAGCAAACGGG
Molecule: ribosomal RNA, 253 nt
Filed under: uncultured bacterium
Lineage: Bacteria
Description: partial 16S ribosomal RNA
Rfam family: Bacterial small subunit ribosomal RNA
Source: RNAcentral